UGCCGAUUUUACUAAAGGUGAAUUAUUAUUACUUUGAGAAAAUUCCGGUGGAGGAGGCAGACUUAGUUCUGUGAUUGUUAGCGUAGAAUUUUCAAUGAUGGCAGAUGUAGGGUUCAUCUCAUUUUUCUUUGCAGAACUAGGACGGACAUUUGACUCAUCUUCUGAGGCAGAAGGGGUGAUGUGAGUUGCUACAGGAUCAGACGCAAAGCAGAUCUCUAUUGCAGCAUCCAGUGCACAACAGUUAAAAUGUUCCGACAUAGCAUCUGGAGCAGAACUGGUGGUGGGAUGUCCGUCGUAGUUUGCGGUAUUAAGUUGAUCAAUAAAGCAGACUCAGGC
This 336-nucleotide unclassified non-coding RNA is filed under the name Melitaea cinxia (Glanville fritillary). RNAcentral's name for it is "misc RNA ENSMCXG00005012979.1". The record is from RNAcentral. Lineage: Eukaryota; Metazoa; Arthropoda; Insecta; Lepidoptera; Nymphalidae.